This is a long non-coding RNA of Haliotis rufescens (red abalone), 275 nucleotides long. RefSeq lists it as uncharacterized. The record is from RefSeq and is a predicted model, not a curated record. Lineage: Eukaryota; Metazoa; Mollusca; Gastropoda; Lepetellida; Haliotidae. The transcript is spliced from 3 exons.
AAGCUGCGAAGAUCAUGGGGGAGUUGAUAGAAGAUUUAAGAGUUUGUCCUCUACGUGACGCACUCCUGAAAUUAGAUUAUUGUCGUCAUCCUAUUCCUCUACUGUACCAGUAGUUGAUGUUAGUUCUGAUGAUGAAAGUUGACAUUCUGACCAGACUCCUCAAGCAUCUAAUAUUGAAAGUCCACCAGUCUCAUCUUCAAACAGUGUAAACACUCCAUCAAAUCCAGCCAGCCUUGUUGCCGAAAUUAAACCAAUUCCUCUGGCCCCCCCCCCCC